Syngnathus typhle (broad-nosed pipefish) is the source of this 741-nucleotide long non-coding RNA. RefSeq lists it as uncharacterized. The record is from RefSeq and is a predicted model, not a curated record. The transcript is spliced from 3 exons. NCBI's taxonomy places the organism in Eukaryota, Metazoa, Chordata, Actinopteri, Syngnathiformes, Syngnathidae.
CCGCAACUCAUUUGAAAGUGUUUGAAUACAUUUAAUGGCUUGCUUCUCGCCCGUGUAGGCGGAAGUGAAUUUAGUACGUUUUACGCAUGCGCAGAAAUAAACAGACUCGGACAACACGUGGAGUAAAACGAUGUGGAGCAAUAUCAUUGCAGUCUGUGAAAAGCGUCUUUCAACGGUCUUGACCGAGACAGAAAAGGAGCUGUAAACUUGGAUGAUUCUGUUUAAUUAGCGUAAACAUCAUGAACACGCUGCACGAGUUUCCGCGUGGUGUUCGCCCAAAAUGAACAUGGCAGUUUAAACCACUUCCGCCAAGACGAUUACGUAGGUUCCGCCCCGACUGAGUUGGACGAAGUAUGCCCUUCAUUGCAUUCAUGUACUCCACCCAGUUCAAGUGUGACAACCUCCCAGUCCAACACAAGAGUGUGAGCUGGACACUGAAACUGCAAACAACGGAUCAUAACAGAGUGCUUUGUAGUCAUUAUCAUACUGGUGAUUACAAUUCAAAAGUACAGCAUCAAAACAAAAUGUAACUUCGAGAGACAUGCGCACACGGCGUGGACACGUGCGGGGUGGGUAGGUAAAAGAGGCGUUCAAGGACACGCUUCUUUAGACAGGUCAACACUGUACUUGUUUAUUGAGUCAACGACCAACAAAAGUUAGGCCUCUUUCCACUCUUGAGUCAGUUAUCUUUUUGUGGUUUGAAAAUGCAAAUUCGAAUAAACUAAGAUUGCUUUAACACGA